Molecule: long non-coding RNA, 317 nt
Filed under: Lathyrus oleraceus (garden pea)
Lineage: Eukaryota; Viridiplantae; Streptophyta; Magnoliopsida; Fabales; Fabaceae
Description: Pisum sativum (pea) long non-coding RNA (PSAT_LNC021150)
Source: RNAcentral
AAAAAUAUUAAAAAUCAGAAAUAGAAACUAGAAAUUAUUUGGGAAAUAAUGCAAUUGGUCCCAUAUUUUUUGGAAUUAAAAUGAGAGAGAUAUGAUUUUUUGAAAUAAAAGGAAAUAAACAAAAUAAAAACAGAAAUUAAAAAAAUGCAAAAAACGAGAGCCCUUGGAUCUGAGCUCAUUAAUUGAGCUGGCAGAUCCAAGGAUCCAGAGGCGCGCGCUCAUGAAACACCAUAGUCAAUGCGUGCACACGUGAAGAAAUUAAAGGUCAUAACAAGCAACGCUCCUGAUUGCAUCUGGAAAUCAGAUCAAGCGGUCUA